This 415-nucleotide ribosomal RNA is filed under the name uncultured Achromobacter sp. Its description in RNAcentral is "bacterial SSU rRNA". It matches the Rfam family "Bacterial small subunit ribosomal RNA", at positions 107 to 518 of the family's 1533-position model. The record is from RNAcentral. Lineage: Bacteria; Pseudomonadati; Pseudomonadota; Betaproteobacteria; Burkholderiales; Alcaligenaceae.
UGAGUAAUGUAUCGGAACGUGCCUAGUAGCGGGGGAUAACUACGCGAAAGCGUGGCUAAUACCGCAUACGCCCUACGGGGGAAAGCAGGGGAUCGCAAGACCUUGCGCUAUUAGAGCGGCCGAUAUCGGAUUAGCUAGUUGGUGGGGUAAUGGCUCACCAAGGCGACGAUCCGUAGCUGGUUUGAGAGGACGACCAGCCACACUGGGACUGAGACACGGCCCAGACUCCUACGGGAGGCAGCAGUGGGGAAUUUUGGACAAUGGGGGAAACCCUGAUCCAGCCAUCCCGCGUGUGCGAUGAAGGCCUUCGGGUUGUAAAGCACUUUUGGCAGGAAAGAAACGUCAUGGGCUAAUACCCCGUGAAACUGACGGUACCUGCAGAAUAAGCACCGGCUAACUACGUGCCAGCAGCCGC